CGUGAGUGAGGAGGCAAGCUUGGUCGUUGGCAGCGGAGAAAAAAAAGUCAAGGUGCCCCAUUCAUAUGGCUUGGGUCUGAGCAAUCCAGCCACAAACAGGAAAAAUACCUCAUGUAACAAGGGGAAAGCCCAGACAAAUCAGGCCCCUGGAAAUAUUGAGGGUGUUUGUCACAUAAGCUGUGAAAUUCGAAUUUAACAUUUGACCCUUGGAGAUGCUCUAAUAAGGUAGUUGUUUUGAGCAAUCCAAUCUACCAUAAUUAUAAAUAAAUAAAAAAUAUAAAUAAAAAAAACCAACAAUCCCACCCAGCUGCAGCCAUCAAACCACCAUAACCUCCGUCGCCAAACCACACUCAUUCCACGGGUGGUGCACCGUGCGGAUGGGGUGGUUCUAUUCUAUGGGAAUUGGUGGUAAAACAAGAAGUUUUUGAGUGAAACAAAAUUAAAUGAUGGGUGCUUUUAAAAGAUUGAUUGAGGAUGACAGCCAUGGAAUGUAAGAAAAACAUACUUACAUUUUUUAAUUUAACUGAAGUAUACCGCCAUGGAAUCUCAACUCAUUUUUUAAUUUUAGAAGGCCCAUCAAUUCU
Molecule: long non-coding RNA, 584 nt
Filed under: Prunus persica (peach)
Lineage: Eukaryota; Viridiplantae; Streptophyta; Magnoliopsida; Rosales; Rosaceae
Description: long non-coding RNA (PPER_LNC002984)
Source: RNAcentral